This 1018-nucleotide long non-coding RNA is filed under the name Gossypium barbadense (sea-island cotton). Its description in RNAcentral is "long non-coding RNA (GBAR_LNC013499)". The record is from RNAcentral. Lineage: Eukaryota; Viridiplantae; Streptophyta; Magnoliopsida; Malvales; Malvaceae.
UAGAUUUUAUGAUGCUUCUUUCUAUGCUUCCGAUUUUUAAGAGUCACUUGAUUUAUAUUUCUAUAAGGACAGAUAUGGAUAUAAUAUUAUAAUAUUUGACACAGGGAUAAGGUGAGUGGACUUGCCAAGCUAGUACUAAUAUACCUUUUAAAUUUAAUUAGGUCAUUAUGUUUCCGAUGGCCAAAAUGUGGAUACAAUUUAUUUGCACCUGCAUUUCCCCAACAUAAAAUGUUUUUCACGUCACUGCCUUUAAGCGGUUUUGCUUGAUGUCGUAUUGCAAAAAGGAAAGUUUGCUUAGGACAUUGGAUUUAUCAGUCUUUGCCCACUUGCAUUAGAGGCCAGAAGAGGGGAAUAUAUUUCUCGCAUCUUCUGACUGCCUUGUGCAAACAAGCACUAUUUCUCUGUCGCCAACGCACCAAUUCGCAAAACUGUUGAGGAGCAUUUUUUGUAGUAUGAUGUAUGCUCAAUUUUUUGACCUUCAGAGAAAACAAGUGCACGAGUGGAACCAAAGUCACAAACAAAAGAUGGAUGUAUAACCAUCUAUGACAAGAAAAAACAAAACUAAGGCGUCCCGAUUAAUGAGUUUGACGGGCUUAUCAAUUAUGGAAUGGGCAAUCUGAUGGAUGCAACAGAUGUCCCUGGUAGGCAUUGAUUAUCUAUAGAGGCAUGGCAUGCAAGUGACCAACUCACCUCCCAAUAUAUAUGUACCCUUUUCAUAUCUCGUCGAGUCCGAAAGCGUGGACGAGGAAUAAGAAGAAGACGACGACAAUAUGGAAGAACAGGAAGACCCCUUCCCGACUUAGGAAUUUGAGUAAGCAUUCCAACUAGAACAAAUGACAACUAAAAGAUUUUGCAUCCGCAACCUAAGAUAACAGAACCCAACCCAGUUUGCAGGUAAGAGGGCAACAAAGACCACAGCGGGCAGAGGUAAAGGGAAGGUAGUACCAGAAAAGGUGGUGGCAUCAAAUUCUGAUUAAAUAUUGCCUUUAAUUUAUUUUGGGAGUUGUAAUUUUAAAAC